This 1865-nucleotide long non-coding RNA is filed under the name Homo sapiens (human). RNAcentral describes it as "HSALNT0397499". The record is from RNAcentral. Lineage: Eukaryota; Metazoa; Chordata; Mammalia; Primates; Hominidae.
ACUUCCCAAGGGUCUCUGCGGCUGCGCGGACCUGGUGCGCCGCGGGCAAACCGGUCACGGCUUUGUAAGUAGCUUAACCGCCUGGGGCCGUCGACCUAGAGCCGGCCAGCUAGGACCAUGCGCAAAUUGUCCUGGGGCACACAGUCGUCCUCUGGUGAACGAUACAACUCGAAACCAAGGGACACCCUCUACUUAUAAGGGCCAUGGCGCCCGGACCAAGAAAUUACAUUUCCCAGAAAACUGCAGCCGUGCCAAGGUCUUCCGGGUCAUUCCUGCGCUCACACAAACGUUUCCCUCCGAGACAUGGGCAGCCCUUGCUGGUACCGCGCAAGUGCUCGCCGUUGCUAGCAAAGGGGCUCCUCUCAUCCCAAACCCUGCCGCUAUGCUGUUCACCUUCAGGUCUUUUUUUUUUUUUUUUUUUGGCACUCAUUUGCCCAAGACGAUAACUCACAAAACGCCCUGUGGCCCGACUGUCACGACUGUAGUUCGCCAACCAAGGGCAUUUCCUGGAAAUGCAAGGGGACACGUAUCUGUGACACUAAUGGCCGUUCUGACGUGCGUUACGCCCCUGGAAGGACUUGGAAAUACUGAACUUGAGUGAGCACUGGGAGGAUGGAGACCCUCAUCCUGGGAGGAGUCACUCCUCCCGCAGCCAUCACAGCCUGACGCCCCCUCUCCCCAGAAGUGCUUCUUAGGCCCACCCAAAAGGGCAAUGGACCUCUCUGUAUGCAAGCCAGAGCAGUCUACUGUUUGUGUAUAUUUGGGUUGUUUACUUUCUUUUUAACACUUAAAUGUUAAUUGACUUCAAUCAUUUUUAAAAUUAUAAAUAGUGUCGCUAUAGACUUUUUUGUACUUAUUAAGUACUGACCUGCAUGAUCUUCGUGAAGCAGUGCUUCUGUUACCAGAAAGGGGUCCGGAUCCGACCCCAAGAGAGAGUUCUUAGAGCUCACGCAAGAAAAAAUCCAUGGGAGAGCACAGUGCAAAGCCAAAGCAAGUGUAUUAAGAAAGUAAAGAAACAAUGGGUACUCCAUUGUUAGAGCAGCAGCUUGGGCUGCUGGACUAGGGAUACUUGUAUUUAUUGCUUGAUGAUGUGCUAAACAAGGGUGGAUUAUUCAUGAGUUUUCCAGGAAAGAGGUGGGCAAUUUCAAUUUCUCGGAGCUGAGGGCUUCCCAGCUUUUUGAACCAUACAGGGUAACUUCUGAACCUUACCAUGGCAUUUGUAAAUUGCCAUGGCACUGAUGAGCGUUUCUCUUAGCGUGCUAAUGCAUAUAAUUAGCAUAUAACCGAGAGGUGAAGCCAGCUGGGCUUCUGGAUCAGGUGGGGCCUUGGAGAACUUUUCUGUAUAGCUGAAGGAUUGUAAAUACACCAAUCAGUGCUCUGUGUCUAGCUAAAGGUUUGUAAAUGCACCAGUCAGCACUCUGUAAAAACGGACCAAACAGCACUCUGUAAAAUAGACCAAUCAGCGCUCUGUAAAAUGGACAAAUCAGCAGGAUGUGGGCGGGGCCAAAUAAGGGAAUAAAAACGGGCCACCCGAACAACCAGCGGCAACCGCGCUGGGGUCUACUUCCCAGGUGUGGGAUGUUUGUUCUUUUGCUCUUUGGGUCUGCACUACCUUUAUGAGCUGCAACACUCACCCUGAAGGUCUGCAGCUUCACUCUUGAAGCCAGCGAGACCACAAACCCACUGGGAGGAACGAACAACUCCAGACACGCCGUCUUUAGGAGCUGUAACACUCACUGUGAAGGUCUGCAGCUUCACUCCUGAAGCCAGCGAAAUCAUGAACCCACCGGGAGGAACAAACAACUCCAGCACGACUCCAGACGCACCGCCUUUAUGAGCUGUAACACACACCGCGAGGGUCUGCA